CGGCAGUAGGAGCUCACAUGCAGGCUGCGUUCGCCGCACAUCAACUCUUACUGUUCGGG
This is a microRNA precursor of Gallus gallus (chicken), 59 nucleotides long. The record is from Ensembl. Lineage: Eukaryota; Metazoa; Chordata; Aves; Galliformes; Phasianidae.